CUCCAUCAACACCAACACUUCACUGAGUUCAUGGUUAGCUACGAGGCGCCCAAGAGAACGGACACCCAGGGGCUUGGGAUGGAUGGGACCCGGAUGCCUCCUGGUCCUGCGCUCAGUGCUGUGCAACUUUGUCCAAGUCUGUCACCUCUCUGAGCCUCUGAUUCCUCACGGACAACGUGGGGCGUGUAAGCAGGCCUCCCUCUGCAGACUGUCUGGAGGAGAGCGGGCUCGAGGCCGGGAAGGCGCUCCUUGCGGUCACAGGCAAAGCCCAUCAGAGUCAUCUGCUCACCGAAGCCCCCACGGGCCUCCCCUGCGCGUCUCAGCUACUACUGAACCCAGGGGUUUCACAAAGGAAGGAAGAACUGUGUCUACACAGACUGUCACCGGGGGGCUGAAGAAACAGAGCCGUAACAGCGAGAGGCCAGGGGCGGCCCCAGCCAGCUGUGAACCACCCCCCGGAAGACACUGUCUGUUGUUUUGUCUUCACACCGCACAGCGCAGACUGAACCCCGACCACCAAGUGGCUCCCCAGGGAACUGGGAGGGAGAUGGAGGGCCCGUGGGCUCCUCCCUUCAGAAUCCCUGCACCCACACCCACCUGCAGCUCUCCCCACAGGCCUCUGUGUACCCAAACCCAAACCCAACCACAAAACCACCACGCGAGCUACUCAAAAUGGGACCAGUUCGGUGCCGAUAGCCACCCGGGACUUCAGUACUGAGACUGCAGAGAUUCGAGGAAGGAAGAGAAGGAAAAGAAGACGGAAAAGAGACUUUCUUACUCCCCAGUAGCCGCUGGAGCCAGAGGCCCAAACACCACAUGGACCCAGUGGGGGCCAGGCCACCUCUGUGUCCCGCCGCUGCUGGGUAGCUGCUGCCCUGCCCCUACCCCCACCUCCUCCCUCCAAGGUCAAGAUUUCUGGGGGAAACAGAGUCAGGGCAUCAGGGACGGUCUCACCCAAUGCCCUGGGGGGCAGUCAUCUCUGCCCAGUUAAUUUAUUCCCAAUAUGAAUCGACCCUAAUCCCAGGAACAAAUAAUUGAUUUUAAUUUUGCUUAAACCACGCGCACGCGUGCGUGCACACACACACACACACACACAUAUACCCCGAUUCAGAUUAAUCAUGGCCCCUCUGGCAGAAUAAUUAUAUUUUAUCUUCGGGAACAGACAUCUUUUCAGGGAUAUUAAGGAAGACGAGAGUCUGAGUCGUGACGGGGAGUCCGAUUGUUUAGGAAGGUCUAGGAGGUCUAGGCCCCAGACGGGGCCGGAAAUUGGGUUUGCUAACUUUGUGAGAUGGAAGGGGGAGAGGACAGAUUUCCUCACCAUCACAGGACCUGCCUCUAGUCCGCAUAAGCACGAGUGGGAGACAAAGGAAACUUCCCGAAUCAUUUCCAAAGCAUCCCGUGGCUUCCCGGGGUGAAGAUCCCCAGGAGCUCCCCUGUGUACCCUCUGCCUGGGCUGUGCCCACACGGCCUCUGACCCGAGGGAAGAUCUACGUGGGGUUCCAGCCACUGGGGCCCAUGGCUGCUUUGACUGCCAACCUGCUUUGACACCCACCCCUGCCCCAAGACCCCCCGGGCCCACUCUCCUGUGCUCCUGCAUUCAGCGGCUUCCGCCCACCGUCUCCUGCGUCCGGGGCCUGCCUUUGGCUCCCGGCCAUCAGUGCACACAGAAUCGGGGAUGCCCGUCUCACUGUGCGGGACCGGAGGGUGGGGGACCACUGGCUGUCAGCAUCCCUGGGGAGGCCACCCCCCCAGGCCUCAGACGGGACCACCCUCAAGGUCCCGAAUCCACCCUAGAAAGACCUAACAGCUCCAUCCCGCACCCGGCCAGGGCAGUGGGUGUCUAGCCUGGCCCUGUCUCAGGACACACGUCAUGGGACAAGGGGUACUGCGUCUAACAGGAGUUCCGUGGGUAAUAUCUAUCUCUUUGUUGCCCCCCAGACUCAAUUUGGAGGCCUCCCAACCCUCAGGCCUGGGCCCCCGGGCCCUGCCUGCUGAGCUCUGGGCCUGGCAGCCCCCAGAAGACCUUGAA
Molecule: long non-coding RNA, 2029 nt
Filed under: Sus scrofa (pig)
Lineage: Eukaryota; Metazoa; Chordata; Mammalia; Artiodactyla; Suidae
Description: lncRNA (ENSSSCG00045036973.1)
Source: RNAcentral